GUGAGUGCCAGGUAGCUAUUGAUACCUAGGCUUCCAUAGUGUGAGGAGGAAUUUAAUGUUGCAGACACAGGUAUUUAAAUCCCUAUUUAAAGAACUGCAUACAGUGCUCACUGUCAUGCAUACAGCUCACCUAUCAGGCUGGGGCCACUAACUAUGACCCCAGCCGAGAGAGGGGAGCCCCGGGUAUUGACUGAUACCUUAGUCUUCUGGUG
Non-coding RNA from Pelobates cultripes (western spadefoot toad), 212 nucleotides. Lineage: Eukaryota; Metazoa; Chordata; Amphibia; Anura; Pelobatidae. The record is from the annotation of a GenBank genome assembly.